GGUGACGUGGCAGAGCGGCCGAAUGCACCGGUCUUGAAAACCGGUGAGGGCUCACACCCUCCGUGGGUUCGAAUCCCACCGUCACCA
RNAcentral lists this transfer RNA (87 nucleotides) under Actinomycetota bacterium. RNAcentral describes it as "tRNA-Ser". It matches the Rfam family "tRNA". Rfam says of the family: Transfer RNA (tRNA) molecules are approximately 80 nucleotides in length. Their secondary structure includes four short double-helical elements and three loops (D, anti-codon, and T loops). Further hydrogen bonds mediate the characteristic L-shaped molecular structure. tRNAs have two regions of fundamental functional importance: the anti-codon, which is responsible for specific mRNA codon recognition, and the 3' end, to which the tRNAs corresponding amino acid is attached (by aminoacyl-tRNA synthetases). tRNAs cope with the degeneracy of the genetic code in two manners: having more than one tRNA (with a specific anti-codon) for a particular amino acid; and 'wobble' base-pairing, i.e. permitting non-standard base-pairing at the 3rd anti-codon position. Lineage: Bacteria; Bacillati; Actinomycetota. The record is from RNAcentral.